RNAcentral lists this ribosomal RNA (700 nucleotides) under uncultured bacterium. Its description in RNAcentral is "bacterial SSU rRNA". It matches the Rfam family "Bacterial small subunit ribosomal RNA", at positions 94 to 790 of the family's 1533-position model. The record is from RNAcentral.
AGUGGCGAACGGGUGAGUAAUAUAUCGGAACGUAUCCAAUAAUGGGGGAUAACGAGUCGAAAGAUUCGCUAAUACCGCAUACGCCCUGAGGGGGAAAGCUGGGGAUCUUCGGACCUAGCGUUAAUGGAGCGGCCGAUAUCGGAUUAGCUAGUUGGUGGGGUAAAGGCCUACCAAGGCGACGAUCCGUAGCUGGUCUGAGAGGACGACCAGCCACACUGGAACUGAGACACGGUCCAGACUCCUACGGGAGGCAGCAGUGGGGAAUUUUGGACAAUGGGCGCAAGCCUGAUCCAGCCAUUCCGCGUGAGUGAAGAAGGCCUUCGGGUUGUAAAGCUCUUUCGCAAGGGAAGAAACGAUUUAGGUGAAUAAUCUAAGUUAAUGACGGUACCUUGAUAAGAAGCACCGGCUAACUACGUGCCAGCAGCCGCGGUAAUACGUAGGGUGCGAGCGUUAAUCGGAAUUACUGGGCGUAAAGCGUGCGCAGGCUGUUUUGUAAGUCAGAUGUGAAAUCCCUGGGCUCAACCUAGGAACUGCGUUUGAAACUACAAGACUAGAAUAUGUCAGAGGGGGGUAGAAUUCCACGUGUAGCAGUGAAAUGCGUAGAGAUGUGGAGGAAUAUCAAUGGCGAAGGCAGCCCCCUGGGAUAAUAUUGACGCUCAUGCACGAAAGCGUGGGGAGCAAACAGGAUUAGAUACCCUGG